RNAcentral lists this ribosomal RNA (253 nucleotides) under uncultured bacterium. RNAcentral describes it as "partial 16S ribosomal RNA". It matches the Rfam family "Bacterial small subunit ribosomal RNA", at positions 524 to 776 of the family's 1533-position model. The record is from RNAcentral.
UACGAAGGGUGCAAACGUUGCUCGGAAUUAUUGGGCGUAAAGCGCACGUAGGCGGCUUUGCAAGUCCCAUGUGAAAUCCCACGGCUUAACCGUGGAAGUGCAUGGGAAACUGCAGAGCUUGAGUACUUAAGAGGAUCGCGGAAUUCCCGGUGUAGAGGUGAAAUUCGUAGAUAUCGGGAGGAACACCAGUGGCGAAGGCGGUUGCCUGGAGCUUUGCUGACGCUGAUGCGCGAAAGCGUGGGGAGCGAUCCGG